AGGGUUAUGGGGGUCCAGAGCCGAUCUUGUCCGCUCUCGGAAGCUAAGCAGGGUCAGGCCGGGUUAGUACUUGGAUGGGAGACAUGUUAGGCUUUCUUCGUU
RNAcentral lists this ribosomal RNA (102 nucleotides) under Scleropages formosus (Asian bonytongue). The record is from RNAcentral. Lineage: Eukaryota; Metazoa; Chordata; Actinopteri; Osteoglossiformes; Osteoglossidae.